UAAACUUACUCCCUUUGGAUCAAUAGCAAGUGUUAUUUCUAAUGAGUUCCCUUCUGUUGGGAUUUCAUCAGAUCUGUUAACAUUUUCAAAAUGUUUUUAGGCAAGGGAAGGAGCAAGAUGGCGGAGGAGUUGGAAACCUACAUUUCAUCUGGUCCCAGGAGUUCAGAUAGACAGUUACCAAACCAUCCUUAACACCUACAAACUCAAUGGAAGAUUGAUGAGAAGAGGAGCAGCAAUUCCAUGAACAGAAAAGCGACCAUUUCUGGAAGAGGCACAAGCAGCAAAAGCAUUACUGCUGAAGAACACCAUCAUGUAGAUUUCAUGAAGGGGACCCCAGUAUUCACCUUUGAACAACAUUUGAAUUCCUUUGAAAGACUGAUAAAAGCACUGGUCAGGAUUCUUCAAAAAAUGCACAGCUGUAAUUUGUUUUUAGACAAUUUCAGACAGUUCAUGGACAGUCCACAUGUCCAUGUUUAGUGGACUGCGAGUCCAAAUCUCUGUGAACUUUAAGGCAACGGAGUCUUCUUCUGGUCAUCCGUGUGCCAGAUGGCCCGCAGGCAGCAUCUCCACCCCUGACUUCCCUCCUGAGCGUGACAUCGGCCGUCCAAGCGCAAAGCAAGCCUGUGUGUGCAGAGUCAGAAGGUGCUGCUGGCAGACACUUCUCAAGGCCAAGAUAACUUAGGUCUGAAUCUCAGCGAUAGUAGAAAGCAGACGCUUAAUGCUUAAUAAAUAUUUUAUGAAUGAGUGAGCAAAUAAAUUGAAGAACAAAGGCAGAGGAAUGACUGAAGAUGGAGAAACUGAGUCACUAACAGCAUGGAGACUUAAGGCAGAAAUGGAAACCAUUCGAAGUCUCCACGUUAAGUCCCGGCAGACUCCUAGAGCUCAGAGAGGGAACCGGGAGGGCUGGGAUGAGAACACAUUCAAUCUCAGGUCAUCCCAGGGCACCUGCUCUGCCUUGCCUUCAAGCCAGAGAGAAGAGCAGUCCUGGAGAAGGUGAUCGAGGCUUUACCAAAAUCUGCACCAUGAGAGUUUCAGAAGCUCUAAGGAGAAACAGCAGCGUGGAACCAGGGGACAGAAGUGCAGAUCCCAGCACUGUCGAGCCUAGCAGUGCGGCCGUGCGCGAAACUCCUGUUCUCCAUGAGGCUCGGCGGCUUCACUCGUAGCAUGGAAAGAGCAGCCUCAACCCCCAAGAAUGCUAGAGGCUCCAAAGUGGACAGCAGGUUUGGAGAUGCUCGCACUCUAAUGGACUGUUCUCCCCAAAGCACCAUGACAACUGCACUUCCCCACCCGCCUGCUUCAGCCUUCACGCCACGUCUCACCCGGUCCCAGAUACAGAGAAAUGAACUUACCAUCUC
This is a long non-coding RNA of Mustela erminea (ermine), 1355 nucleotides long. RefSeq lists it as uncharacterized. NCBI's taxonomy places the organism in Eukaryota, Metazoa, Chordata, Mammalia, Carnivora, Mustelidae. The transcript has 5 exons. The record is from RefSeq and is a predicted model, not a curated record.